AGAAAAAGGAAGUUGGCAGUGGCUCUACGCACGAAGAACAGAGCCCCUUCGCGUGUAUCCACAGCACCUGGGCAGCUGAUGGCGUGCAGGGUAUAGGCACGGAACUGCUUAGAUCACUGUUGCCUCAGCAAGGACCUAAUGCUUCUCAGGAUUCAAGAUGCGUGUUUACGCCUCAGUAACACAAGGUGAAGAGCAUCUGUGUCCUUGUCACGGUGUCAAACUAGGGGUCUGGAGUUGGAGAGGGUGGAGAGCUACACUGUCUCCUCAAGCCGUGUCCUCAGCUCUGUGAGAUGGGAAGGACGGGCCUUCCUCCCUGAUGUCAGGCAGGCCUGAACGAAGUGAACCCACGGAAACCACACAGCAGUGCUGGAAGAAGAGGCGAGCAGGCAGGAGCUCUGGAGUGGAAGCUCGAUACUCCGAGGCCCCAGCCCUGCAGGUGCCUGACGCUUCCCAAUGGUUGAGAGCCGCUGCUCUCCAACUGAGAAAUCAGGUCCACCAUCAGCGACUGCCCCUUCCAGCAAAACCUCCUGUGCUCGGGAGAGAAGAGGGCAACGGUAUCCACUGGGCCACACCAUUUUAAACCAAGAAGAAAUAAGAUCAGCCUAUCUGCAUGCCCGGGGCAUCCUAUCUGCAGCGUUAGAUUUGUUUCCCCCUUGUUCUCCAUACAUGUCACCCUCCCAACUUAAUGACAUCUAUCCAUCCAUCCAUCCAUAAUACAUAUAUACAUAUAUUAAGUUAAGUAUAUAUGUUAUAUACACCCACACACACAUUUCAACAAGUCCAAGUUAGUGAUGUCCAUAUGUGCAUGGACGUGGCGCCAUUCAUGGAAGCAAAGAAAAUAUGCCAGUGGCCACAUCUUCAAUAAUGGAUGAUCCUCUCAUGCCUAGCAGAAGUCUACUGUCAAUAACCCUUUAGUAUCAGGUGGGUCCUAGAAAUUAUCUACCGUGUGUAUGCUGGAAUUUGGACUGGCUCGGUCUUCUACAGGUAUUGUACAGGUAACCAUGGCUGCUAUGAAUUCAUGGUUACAUUAGUCAUGCCAUCUCCAGAAAACAGCAUU
Long non-coding RNA from Meriones unguiculatus (Mongolian gerbil), 1057 nucleotides. RefSeq lists it as uncharacterized. The transcript is spliced from 6 exons. The record is from RefSeq and is a predicted model, not a curated record. NCBI's taxonomy places the organism in Eukaryota, Metazoa, Chordata, Mammalia, Rodentia, Muridae.